Molecule: ribosomal RNA, 261 nt
Filed under: uncultured archaeon
Lineage: Archaea
Description: partial 16S ribosomal RNA
Rfam family: Archaeal small subunit ribosomal RNA
Source: RNAcentral
CAGCCGUAAACUAUGCGCGUUAGGUGUAUCGGUGACCACGAGUUACCGAGGUGCCGAAGGGAAACCGUGAAACGUGCCGCCUGGGAAGUACGGUCGCAAGGCUGAAACUUAAAGGAAUUGGCGGGGGAGCACCACAACAGGUGGAGCCUGCGGUUUAAUUGGACUCAACGCCGGGAAGCUCACCGGAUAGGACAGCAGAAUGAUUGCCGGGCUGAAGACCCUGCAUGACUCGCUGAGAGGAGGUGCAUGGCGUAGACGUCU